This 151-nucleotide small nucleolar RNA is filed under the name Oryzias latipes (Japanese medaka). RNAcentral describes it as "Small nucleolar RNA U109 (ENSORLG00015013849.1)". Lineage: Eukaryota; Metazoa; Chordata; Actinopteri; Beloniformes; Adrianichthyidae. The record is from RNAcentral.
GUGCAUGUUUUGGCCCUCCUUGCCGUCUCUCCGUGACAAUAGGGGGGGUCAAGCACAAACAUGCUAGAUUAACGCUGAAAUAUUCGGGAGCUAACAGGGCCACCAGUCUUUCAAGGCCAGACUGAGUCGGUAGUAUAAAACUCCCACAGUU